Molecule: transfer RNA, 25 nt
Filed under: Strychnos panamensis
Lineage: Eukaryota; Viridiplantae; Streptophyta; Magnoliopsida; Gentianales; Loganiaceae
Description: partial tRNA-His
Source: RNAcentral
GGCGGAGAGCACAAGAACUUACUGC